Orbicella faveolata is the source of this 502-nucleotide long non-coding RNA. Lineage: Eukaryota; Metazoa; Cnidaria; Anthozoa; Scleractinia; Merulinidae. The record is from RefSeq and is a predicted model, not a curated record.
GCGUAGGCGAAAUUUGAAUAACGAGCCAAAAUGUCGGCGAUGACUCAUUGGUGUGGAAUCAACUAGUCACGUGGGUUCUUUGUGGCCAAUCCUGACGGAGUGUUUAUCGUUGAGUCGUUGUGAUGGCUGUUGUGAGGCCGUGAACAAGAUCCGAUCGGACAUCCUUUACAUGCACCAGGUGCAACGAAUAGAGGAAGGAUUUUCAGUAUUCUAUAACAGUGCUUAAUAUAGUACACUAGUGGAAGUGAAAUUUCCAUAGGACGUGGGUUGCUCAAGGUGGAUUUCUGUAUCAGCUGUUUUGGUCGUCUUUCAGCUGGUUGCGUUGCAAAAAUGUGGGCCCAUGGUUUUGAAGAACAGCAAGACUGACAGCAAAAGAUGAAGCAGAGAAAACUUCGGAAUCCAUGUUUUAUUUUGAUUUUCAGGCAUUUUUAUUUCAGAGUACCAAGAUAGUUUGAAACCAUGCCUGCCCUGACAGCCAAUUCCGUCACACUAGAUGAGAUUC